AUUAAGUCGAACGCGAACCGCUUUCGGGGGGAGAGGAGUGGAAAACGUGUGUAUAACAUGUGCGCUAUGUGCCUUGCUCUCGGAGAUAACUCCGGGAAACCGUAUCUUAUACCAUAUAACACGUUCCAGGGUCUCCUGGGGGGUGAAAAUCUCCCGCGGAGCGAGAAGACCCCGCCCUCUAUCCUCUGGGUGGAGGGGUGACCUCCCCCCAGGGACAACACGGGUACCCCGUCUGAGAGGGCCACCGGCCACUGUGACACUGACACACCCCCCACACUCCUACGAGAGGCAGCUGUGGAAAAUAUUGCACAGUGGGAACACCCCUGAUGCCGCCACCCCGCGUGAGAGAUGACCGUCUUCGUGUUGAACACCUUUUUCAACAGGAAAAAAGCGCGUGUGACUGCACGUGCAAAAAAAGCACCCUCUAUCUACGUGCCAACACCCGCGAAUAUACAUAGGGUGCGAGCUUUGUCCAGAUUUAUUGCGUGUAAAGAUCUCAUACGCCUUCUGUCGUCUCUUAUGUAAAACCCCGGCUCUUAACCCCGUCUCUGCAUUCUAUACGGACGCGCUAGAUUUCUAUAGGAGAUAUCAGAUUUUCUGGUGUAGCUGAGAUAUGCACAUAUAUCGAGAAGAACACCUGUGGAAAGCGCAUAUCUCUGGCCAUAUACUGACUCAGAAGAGCAAACGCGUGGAGAGCAAACGAGAUUAUAUACCCUGAUAGUACACCCCGUACACGUUGCACUCUAUGUGUGCGCGGUUUUCCAUGUCGUCUGUGCCGCCUCUCACGCAUUAUGUGCCCCCUCUGGAGAAUACCGCCACGACGCUACUCUCAGAAGUAUUGACGGGCCCCACACAAGCCGCAGCACAUGUGUCAUACUUCCACGCACGCAAACAUCUUACGACGUGUGAUAUACACCAGAAAUCCCAGAGAUGCCCCCCCGUGUGGGCGUGUACAGGUGCACGUCGCUGUCAUCACUCGUGUCAGAGAUGUGUGGUAAAUCCCGGCAAGGGCGCCACCCCUUGUCUGGUGUGCCCGGCAGCCCCUUGGGGUGAUGGGGACUCACGGGAGACCGCCGGGGUCAACUCGGAGGAAGGUGGGGACGACGUCAAGUCAUCAUGCCCCUUAUGUCUUGGGCUGCACACGUGCUACAAUGGCCGGUACAAUGAGCUGCGAUACCGUGAGGUGGAGCGAAUCUCAAAAAGCCGGUCUCAGUUCGGAUUGGGGUCUGCAACUCGACCCCAUGAAGUCGGAGUCGCUAGUAAUCGCAGAUCAGCAUUGCUGCGGUGAAUACGUUCCCGGGCCUUGUACACACCGCCCGUCACGUCACGAAAGUCGGUAACACCCGAAGCCGGUGGCCCAACCCUUUGUGGGAGGGAAUCGU
Molecule: ribosomal RNA, 1382 nt
Filed under: Streptomyces variabilis
Lineage: Bacteria; Bacillati; Actinomycetota; Actinomycetes; Kitasatosporales; Streptomycetaceae
Description: bacterial SSU rRNA
Rfam family: Bacterial small subunit ribosomal RNA
Source: RNAcentral